GAUGAAGAACGCAGCGAAAUGCGAAAAGUAGUGUGAAUUGCAGAAUUCAGUGAAUCAUCGAAUCUUUGAACGCACAUUGCGCCCGCCAGCAUUCUGGCGGGCAUGCCUGUUCGAGCGUCAUUUCAACCCUCAAGCUCUGCUUGGUGUUGGGGCCCUACGUCUGACGUAGGCCCUCAAAGACAGUGGCGGACCCUCUCGGAGCCUCCUUUGCGUAGUAACUAACGUCUCGCACUGGGAUUCGGAGGGACUCUUGCCGUAAAACCCCCAAUUUUUACAGGUUGACCUCGGAUCAGGUAGGAAUACCCGCUGAACUUAAGCAUAUCAAUAAGCGGAGGA
RNAcentral lists this unclassified non-coding RNA (336 nucleotides) under soil metagenome. Its description in RNAcentral is "partial contains 5.8S ribosomal RNA, internal transcribed spacer 2, and large subunit ribosomal RNA". The stretch from base 1 to 120 matches the Rfam family "5.8S ribosomal RNA", at positions 35 to 154 of the family's 154-position model. The record is from RNAcentral.